This 253-nucleotide ribosomal RNA is filed under the name uncultured bacterium. RNAcentral's name for it is "partial 16S ribosomal RNA". It matches the Rfam family "Bacterial small subunit ribosomal RNA", at positions 524 to 776 of the family's 1533-position model. The record is from RNAcentral.
UACAGAGGUGGCAAGCGUUGUUCGGAAUUACUGGGCGUAAAGGGCGCGUAGGUGGCCUUCUUAGUCAGACGUGAAAUCCCCAGGCUUAACCUGGGAACUGCGUCUGAUACUGGAAGGCUUGAAUCCGGGAGAGGGAUGUGGAAUUCCAGGUGUAGCGGUGAAAUGCGUAGAUAUCUGGAGGAACACCGGUGGCGAAGGCGACAUCCUGGACCGGUAUUGACGCUGAGGCGCGAAAGCCAGGGGAGCAAACGGG